GACGAACGCUGACGGUGUGCUUUAGACAUGCAAGUCGAGCGAGAAAGCCCUUCGGGGUGAGUAAAGCGGCGAACGGGUGAGUAACACGUGGGCAAUCUGCCCCUCGCAGGGGGACAACCGGGGGAAACUCCGGCUAAUACCCCGUAAGCUUGAUGGAUCGCAUGAUCCAUCAAGGAAAGGUAGCUUCGGCCAUCCGGCGAGGGAUGAGCCCGCGGUACAUUAGCUAGUUGGUGGGGUAACGGCCACCAAGGCGGCGAUGUAUAGCUGGUCUGAGAGGAUGAUCAGCCACACUGGGACUGAGACACGGCCCAGACUCCUACGGGAGGCAGCAGUCGGGAAUCUUGCACAAUGGGCGAAAGCCUGAUGCGGCAACACCGUGUGAGCGAUGAAGGCCCUAGGGUCGUAAAGCUCUGUUGUUGGGGACGAAGGUCGAAGGGUUAAUAGCCCCUAGACUGACGGUACC
This 463-nucleotide ribosomal RNA is filed under the name uncultured bacterium. RNAcentral describes it as "bacterial SSU rRNA". It matches the Rfam family "Bacterial small subunit ribosomal RNA", at positions 28 to 479 of the family's 1533-position model. The record is from RNAcentral.